This is a long non-coding RNA of Alexandromys fortis (reed vole), 1422 nucleotides long. RefSeq lists it as uncharacterized. The transcript has 3 exons. The record is from RefSeq and is a predicted model, not a curated record. NCBI's taxonomy places the organism in Eukaryota, Metazoa, Chordata, Mammalia, Rodentia, Cricetidae.
AGCUCGGCCUCUGGAAUUCUGAGAACUAAUUUGCUAUUCGGUGACAUAAGAGGGGGAGUGCGCUACGCUUUCCCGGGGUCUGGGGCUAAUUCUUCCUCUCCUACCCAUAAACUCGGCUCCACGAGCUAAAUACACAAAAGGGAGCGAGCGAUCUGAGCUGUUGGAACAAGUAUGUUAGAGGCACGUUUAGAGAGGCGAGUGAGAGAAAACAAUAAAUACCACAGCUCCUUCCAGCUAGAAUAUUAGGCACCACGAGAAAAAUAUUUGCCAAGCAGUUUUCGCAUAUGCCUGACAGACGAUGCUCACUUAGCAAAUGUUGAUGGAGUUGAAGAAGGAAGAACUGAAAGAGAAUUCAGUGUGGAGCCCGAGGACCCAGGUGACAGCGUGAAGCUCCACGGUUGACUAAUUCUCUGGAUCUCAGUUUCCUGUUCUCUAAAAUGGUCAUUUCUAUCAAGGGCGAACCUAAGAGGCAUCUUAUGAGGAUUAAGGGCAACGGAGAGAAAGCAAAUACAGAGCCAUCCCCAGGACGUGACAGUAAAUAGAAGAGGAUCUUCAUACGGAUUAAAGGAAAUAUCAGCAGUGGUAUUUAAGGGGGAGAGUCAACCACUAGCGGAAGAAGGCAAUGAUAAAACAAGUAAAACAAUGGAUGUUUGACAUCUGCUAUGGUGUAAAUUCAAAAGACUAACCACUCUAAAACCCACCUUGUGGGGCUGGAGAGAUGGGUAAAGUGCCUAAUGCAUGAGCAUGAAGACCUGAGCUCGGAUCCCCAGCAGUCAUGCGAAAAUCCUGGCAUGGUGGUGUGAAUCUAUAACCUGGUGUACGUCUGAGGACAGAGAAGAAGGUAGACAGAGUCAGGCUCUUCCUCAGAUUGCUGACCAGCCAGUCUGGUCAGUUGUUGAGCCCUGAGUUCACGGAGAGACUCUGUCUCAAAAUAUAAGAGGGAGAUCAUUCAAACAAGACACCUUGUGUUGCCUUCUGAUCUCCACACCACGUGUGUGCACACAUACUCCCAUGCAGAUGCAUGCAUAUCCCCCCAAACACACACACACACACACAGUUAUUCCACACCCACACAAAAGCCAGUCACUGUGGAGUACAUCUGUAACCUCAGUGCUGGUGGAUGUGUGAAGACAGCCAAAUCCCCGGAGCUCAAUGACCAGCAAGCCUAGACGAAUUAAUGAACUCUGGAUUUAGGGAAAGAACCUCCCUCAAAAGAUAGGACAGAGGACAGUCAUGGAAGAUCAUGGAAGAUACUCAAGGAUCAAUCCCUAGCUUCCACAUGCGUACGACGGACAUGCAUGCAUAAUGUGUGUAUGCUCAUGUGAACAUAUACACAUAUGUUCAUGUAUAUGAACACUCACGUUUAUGAACCACACUCACAGAAAAUAAAACUAAAUAAAUAAAAUAAUAAUUUAGAAGGCC